RNAcentral lists this ribosomal RNA (435 nucleotides) under uncultured bacterium. RNAcentral describes it as "partial 16S ribosomal RNA". It matches the Rfam family "Bacterial small subunit ribosomal RNA", at positions 29 to 507 of the family's 1533-position model. The record is from RNAcentral.
AGCGAACGCUGGCGGCAGGCUUAACACAUGCAAGUCGAGCGGGCACUUUCGGGUGUCCGCGGCGGACGGGUGAGUAACGCGUGGGAACGUGCCCUCUGGUUCGGAAUAACUCAGGGAAACUUGAGCUAAUACCGGAUACGCCCUUUUGGGGAAAGGCUUGCUGCCGGAGGAUCGGCCCGCGUCUGAUUAGCUAGUUGGUGAGGUAACGGCUCACCAAGGCGACGAUCAGUAGCUGGUCUGAGAGGAUGAUCAGCCACACUGGGACUGAGACACGGCCCAGACUCCUACGGGAGGCAGCAGUGGGGAAUAUUGGACAAUGGGCGCAAGCCUGAUCCAGCCAUGCCGCGUGAGUGAUCAAGGCCUUAGGGUUGUAAAGCUCUUUUAUCCGGGACGAUAAUGACGGUACCGGAGGAAUAAGCCCCGGCUAACUUCGUG